AGUUUGAUCAGUGGCUCAGGACAACGCUGGCGGCGUGCCUAACACAUGCAAGUCGAGCGAAUGAAGUUCCUUCGGGAACGGAUUUAGCGGCGGACGGGUGAGUAACACGUGGGCAACCUGCCUCAUAGAGGGGAAUAGCCUUCCGAAAGGGAGAUUAAUACCGCAUAAGAUUAUAGUACCGCAUGGUACAGCAAUUAAGGAGCAAUCCGCUAUGAGAUGGGCCCGCGGCGCAUUAGUUAGUUGGUGAGGUAACGGCUCACCAAGGCGACGAUGCGUAGCCGACCUGAGAGGGUGAUCGGCCACAUUGGGGCUGAGACACGGCCCAGACUCCUACGGGAGGCAGCAGUGGGGAAUAUUGCACAAUGGGGAAACCCUGAUGCAGCAACGCCGCGUGAGUGAUGACGGCCUUCGGGUUGUAAAGCUCUGUCUUCAGGGACGAUAAUGACGGUACCUGAGGAGGAAGCCACGGCUAACUACGUG
Molecule: ribosomal RNA, 480 nt
Filed under: uncultured bacterium
Lineage: Bacteria
Description: bacterial SSU rRNA
Rfam family: Bacterial small subunit ribosomal RNA
Source: RNAcentral